Molecule: ribosomal RNA, 80 nt
Filed under: uncultured fungus
Lineage: Eukaryota; Fungi
Description: partial 5.8S ribosomal RNA
Rfam family: 5.8S ribosomal RNA
About the family: 5.8S ribosomal RNA (5.8S rRNA) is a component of the large subunit of the eukaryotic ribosome.
Source: RNAcentral
GAAUUCAGUGAAUCAUCGAAUCUUUGAACGCACCUUGCGCUCCUUGGUAUUCCGAGGAGCAUGCCUGUUUGAGUGUCAUU